UGAGACACUAGCUACUUUGCACCUAACUUGCGCACGGAAACAAACUGUAUACUGAGUAUAUACUCAGUGGUAUUUCUAUAAACUAGCACAUAAAACGUUAAUAAAUAAUUCAUACAUUUAAAUCCUAAGUCUUUACUUUCAUGAUCUUAACGGUUUGUUUACUCAACUUUAACUCUUAGCUCUUUAAAUGUAGUUAAACAAUUUUUUUACAUAUUUCAUAUCAUUUGACAUCUUUCAUCAAUCGUACAUCAGUCAUAG
Molecule: long non-coding RNA, 258 nt
Filed under: Gossypium barbadense (sea-island cotton)
Lineage: Eukaryota; Viridiplantae; Streptophyta; Magnoliopsida; Malvales; Malvaceae
Description: long non-coding RNA (GBAR_LNC023072)
Source: RNAcentral